This 439-nucleotide ribosomal RNA is filed under the name uncultured bacterium. RNAcentral describes it as "partial 16S ribosomal RNA". It matches the Rfam family "Bacterial small subunit ribosomal RNA", at positions 339 to 795 of the family's 1533-position model. The record is from RNAcentral.
UAACGGGGGGCAGCAGUGAGGAAUAUUGCACAAUGGGGGGAACCCUGAUGCAGCAACGCCGCGUGGAGGAUGACGCAUUUCGGUGUGUAAACUCCUUUUAUAUGUCAAGAAAAUGACGGUAGCAUAUGAAUAAGCACCGGCUAACUCCGUGCCAGCAGCCGCGGUAAUACGGAGGGUGCAAGCGUUACUCGGAAUCACUGGGUGUAAAGGACGCGUAGGCGGGUUGGAAAGUCAGGUGUGAAAUCCUACAGCUUAACUGUAGAACUGCACUUGAAACUUCUAAUCUAGAGUAUGGGAGGGGGAGAUGGAAUUAGUGGUGUAGGGGUAAAAUCCGUAGAUAUCACUAGGAAUACCUAAAGCGAAGGCGAUCUCCUGGAACAUUACUGACGCUAAGGCGUGAAAGCGUGGGGAGCAAACAGGAUUAGAUACCCGAGUAGUC